AUUGAACGCUGGCGGCAGGCCUAACACAUGCAAGUCGAACGAGUGGCGGACGGAUGAGUAAUGACUGGGCAACUGCCUGAGGGAGAGGGAUAGCUAACGGAAGCGGUAGCUAAUACCGCAUACCAGCGGAUAUGCCCAGAUGUGUUUAGCGAGUAGGUGGGGUAAAGGCUCACCUAGGCGACGAUCCCUAGCUGUUCUGAGAGGAUGACCAGCCACACUGGAACUGAGACACGGUCCAGACUCCUACGGGAGGCAGCAGUGGGGAAUAUUGCACAAUGGGCGAAAGCCUGAUGCAGCCAUGCCGCGUGUAUGAAGAAGGCCUUCGGGUUGUAAAGUACUUUCAGUGGGGAGGCGUUACCAGCAGAAUAAGCACCGGCUAACUCCGUGCCAGCAGCCGCGGUAAUAC
RNAcentral lists this ribosomal RNA (406 nucleotides) under uncultured bacterium. RNAcentral describes it as "partial 16S ribosomal RNA". It matches the Rfam family "Bacterial small subunit ribosomal RNA", at positions 30 to 526 of the family's 1533-position model. The record is from RNAcentral.